RNAcentral lists this ribosomal RNA (381 nucleotides) under uncultured eukaryote. Its description in RNAcentral is "SSU rRNA". It matches the Rfam family "Eukaryotic small subunit ribosomal RNA", at positions 587 to 972 of the family's 1831-position model. The record is from RNAcentral.
AGCUCCAAUAGCGUAUAUUAAAGUUGUUGCGGUUAAAAAGCUCGUAGUUGGAUUUCUGUUGAGAACAGCCGGUCCGCCUCUUGGGCGUGUAUCUGGAUUGGUCUCGGCAUCCUCGUUAGAGACGUUGCUGCGCUUGAUUGCGUGGUACGGAGCUAGCGACUUUUACUUUGAGGAAAUUAGAGUGUUCACGGCAGGCAAACGCCUUGAAUAUAUUAGCAUGGAAUAAUGAUAUAGGACUUCGGUUCUAUUUUGUUGGUUUCUAGAGCUGAAGUAAUGAUUAAUAGGGACAGUUGGGGGCAUUCGUACUAAUGCGUCAGAGGUGAAAUUCUUGGAUUGCAUUAUGACGAACUACUGCGAAAGCAUUUGCCAAGGGUGUUUUCA